RNAcentral lists this ribosomal RNA (433 nucleotides) under uncultured bacterium. RNAcentral's name for it is "partial 16S ribosomal RNA". It matches the Rfam family "Bacterial small subunit ribosomal RNA", at positions 29 to 507 of the family's 1533-position model. The record is from RNAcentral.
AACGAACGCUGGCGGCAUGCCUAACACAUGCAAGUCGAACGAGCCCUUCGGCUCUAGUGGCGCUCGGGUGCGUAACGCGAGUUAACCUCCCCUUAGGUUCGCAAUAACUCCCCGACAGGUGUGCUAAUACCGCUUAAUGUCUCCAGACCAAAGACCUAUCGCCUUUGGAUGGGCCCGCGUUGGAUUAGCUAGUUGGUAGGGUAAAAGCCUACCAAGGCGACGAUCCAUAGCUGGUCUGAGAGGAUGAUCAGCCACACUGGGACUGAGACACGGCCCAGACUCCUACGGGAGGCAGCAGUGGGGAAUAUUGGACAAUGGGCGAAGGCCUGAGCCAGCAAGGCCGCGUGAGUGAUGAAGGCCUUAGGGUUGUAAGGCUCUUUUACCCGGGAUGAUAAUGACAGUACCGGGAGAAGAAGCUCCGGCUAACUCCGUG